CCAAUAAGCUACAGUCAUUCCCAGCUAGGGUUUUACUUUUCUAAUGAAAUUAGCCUGUGGAUCUUUAAAAAGUAUGAAUAAAAAAGAGGACAAAAUAGUCAAUUAUGACAAAGGAGUAUAAUGAGACAAAGGUUGUUAAAUCUACUCAACAGUUGGGGCUUAAGAACCAUUUUGUUUAGGGGUACAUGGUCAUUAAGUUUUUGUCGUAUGUCGUAACUGGUCUCCCAUAGUUGUUCCUAGUUCAAUUCAAACGCACCAUCCUAAGCACACCUGUUCCUGCCCUGGAAUCCCUCAGCCAUGUUUGUCCCACAGAGCAUCACUAUCAAACAGCUCACUGUGGACUCCUCAUAGCAGAAGUACAGUAGGGGACAGCAAGUGUCAGUUCCAUCAGGACCCCUGAUAUAAUUAUUUCCUAUGGAACCAUUGUCCUGAGUCAGGAGCAUAGAUGAGGAAAGAAUGAGCGUGGCUGGCAUCGCUUCAUGAUUACAUUCUGGGAAAGAUCUUGCCUGUUAACCGCUAGAGAAGGAGGGAUGAUGCAGACAGCUACUGGUGGAGGUUGUUGUUAAACAGCGGGUCUUGCAUGCAAGCUCUACAGUUAUGCACAGUAUUUCCAUGACAUCCCAAGCCAUGAGGUCCAUGCUGCUGUAUUCCCCUGUUUAACAAGUGUGGAAACUGAUGUA
RNAcentral lists this long non-coding RNA (680 nucleotides) under Mus caroli (Ryukyu mouse). RNAcentral describes it as "lncRNA (MGP_CAROLIEiJ_G0013376.1)". The record is from RNAcentral. Lineage: Eukaryota; Metazoa; Chordata; Mammalia; Rodentia; Muridae.